GUCCAGGGUAGCUGAGUGGACAAGGCACCUGCCCGGUAAGCAGAAGGGUGUGGGUUCGAUUCCCGUCCCUGUACA
RNAcentral lists this transfer RNA (75 nucleotides) under Cordylochernes scorpioides. Its description in RNAcentral is "tRNA-Thr". It matches the Rfam family "tRNA". Rfam says of the family: Transfer RNA (tRNA) molecules are approximately 80 nucleotides in length. Their secondary structure includes four short double-helical elements and three loops (D, anti-codon, and T loops). Further hydrogen bonds mediate the characteristic L-shaped molecular structure. tRNAs have two regions of fundamental functional importance: the anti-codon, which is responsible for specific mRNA codon recognition, and the 3' end, to which the tRNAs corresponding amino acid is attached (by aminoacyl-tRNA synthetases). tRNAs cope with the degeneracy of the genetic code in two manners: having more than one tRNA (with a specific anti-codon) for a particular amino acid; and 'wobble' base-pairing, i.e. permitting non-standard base-pairing at the 3rd anti-codon position. Lineage: Eukaryota; Metazoa; Arthropoda; Arachnida; Pseudoscorpiones; Chernetidae. The record is from RNAcentral.